Molecule: ribosomal RNA, 428 nt
Filed under: Bacteroidota bacterium
Lineage: Bacteria; Pseudomonadati; Bacteroidota
Description: Bacteroidetes bacterium partial 16S ribosomal RNA
Rfam family: Bacterial small subunit ribosomal RNA
Source: RNAcentral
UAGGGAAUCUUCCGCAAUGGGCGAAAGCCUGACGGAGCAACGCCGCGUGAGUGAUGAAGGUCUUCGGAUCGUAAAACUCUGUUAUUAGGGAAGAACAAAUGUGUAAGUAACUAUGCACAUCUUGACGGUACCUAAUCAGAAAGCCACGGCUAACUACGUGCCAGCAGCCGCGGUAAUACGUAUGGAGCGAGCGUUGUCCGGAAUUAUUGGGCGUAAAGGGUACGCAGGCGGUUUAAUAAGUCGAAUGUUAAAGAUCGGGGCUCAACCCCGUAAAGCAUUGGAAACUGAUAAACUUGAGUAGUGGAGAGGAAAGUGGAAUUCCUAGUGUAGUGGUGAAAUACGUAGAUAUUAGGAGGAAUACCAGUAGCGAAGGCGACUUUCUGGACACAAACUGACGCUGAGGUACGAAAGCGUGGGGAGCAAACAGG